CUCUAAAAUAAAAUUAAAUACGAAUUAUAGAUUGAAACUUAUCUAUAUGAAGUUGGAAUCGUAAGUAAUCGUAAAUUAGUAUGUUACGGUGAAUCAUAGUACUUGAGCUCUGUACACACCGCCCGUCACAUUAAAGAAGUAAUUUUCGAUUGAAAUUUAAGUUUAUUUUUAAAUAUUCUAAAAAAUUAUUUUAUUAGUUAUUUUUUAAUAAAUUUUAAUUAAAUUAUAGAUUAUAAUUUUAAUGAAGUCGUAACAAGGUAACCGUAUGGGAACAUGCGGUUGGAAU
RNAcentral lists this ribosomal RNA (286 nucleotides) under Blastocystis sp. DMP/10-212. RNAcentral's name for it is "partial small subunit ribosomal RNA". It matches the Rfam family "Bacterial small subunit ribosomal RNA", at positions 1274 to 1522 of the family's 1533-position model. Lineage: Eukaryota; Bigyra; Opalinata; Blastocystidae. The record is from RNAcentral.